GUGACGUACUGUGUGGUUUUAGUAAUUUAUGGUUCUAAAUUAUGAAUUUAAUUUUGAACAUUCUAAACGAAAUGGCAUUUAAUGGUGAUUUCACAGGUAAAUUUCGAAGAAUUCAUUUAAUUAUCAUUGGCUAUAUUAAAUUGAUUACAAACGUAUAAAUAAAUGUACAAACAAAAGUUAUUAAAUAGUUACACGUUACUAGAUUUUAUAAUAAAUGCUAACUGGUGUUUCAAUUUAUUGAAAUAAGUAUUUAAAACGUUCAAUAUAAUGUUGUAAUAAAUGUUUGAAUUGCGCAUAGUUCUUCAUUUUUUUUUAAAAAAAAAAAUUUCGUUUCGUUUGUUUAAUGAAUACUCAGUGUUAUCAAAAGAUUCCGAUUAUGUAAACCAACUUGUUAAAUUUAUUUUAUCAAAAAUUAAAAAUACGGAAAAUAUUUCAGUAGAUUUUGAAAAUGAUUUAAAGCUUAAGGUCCAAACUUUUUGUGAUGAAGUAUCUAUUAGAUGGAAAAAUGUAAGAGACCAUAAAGAUAAACUUGAAAUUCAAUGUAGCGAAUGGUUAAAAAAAAUAUUUGUAUUGCCUCAACGGUCGCUCAACAGUGGGCUGAAAUUAUAAAAAAAUUGGAAAAAAUUGAAUUACAAUAAAAAUCUUAUGAAAUCUAUUAUAUAUUUAAUAUAACACAAAGAAAAUUAAAUUUUCAAAGUUUUAAUUACAAAUAACUACUUAGCAAUAUAUUAUUUAAUGUUAAUUGUUGUGCAUCAUUAACUAUGUCAUUCUGAUGUAGAAGUACCAUCUACAUCAGAAUAAGAAAAAUUUUCUGUUUCAGAAUCACUUUACUAAACGACGCCGGUUGUAGGCAAUGGUUUUCGGUAUUCCAGAUGCGGACAUGCGGGUAUAAUGACAAACGGAACAGCAUUAUUGAUAUCUUUUCCGAAAAUAACAAACAACUGUUAUAAUUUUAGAAAAUACCCAUAUUCGGAUGUUCCUAAUAUGUACAGACUGUCAAACCAAUGCACCACCAACAGUGAUU
Molecule: non-coding RNA, 1024 nt
Organism: Cinara cedri
Lineage: Eukaryota; Metazoa; Arthropoda; Insecta; Hemiptera; Aphididae
Source: the annotation of a GenBank genome assembly